GACGAACGCUGGCGGCGUGCCUAAUACAUGCAAGUCGAACGCUUCUUUCCUCCCGAGUGCUUGCACUCAAUUGGAAAGAGGAGUGGCGGACGGGUGAGUAACACGUGGGUAACCUACCCAUCAGAGGGGGAUAACACUUGGAAACAGGUGCUAAUACCGCAUAACAGUUUAUGCCGCAUGGCAUAAGAGUGAAAGGCGCUUUCGGGUGUCGUUGAUGGAUGGACCCGCGGUGCAUUAGCUAGUUGGUGAGGUAACGGCUCACCAAGGCCACGAUGCAUAGCCGACCUGAGAGGGUGAUCGGCCACACUGGGACUGAGACACGGCCCAGACUCCUACGGGAGGCAGCAGUAGGGAAUCUUCGGCAAAGGACGAAAGUCUGACCGAGCAACGCCGCGUGAGUGAAGAAGGUUUUCGGAUCGUAAAACUCUGUUGUUAGAGAAGAACAAGGACGUUAGUAACUGAACGUCCCCUGACGGUAUCUAACCAGAAAGCCACGGCUAACUACGUG
RNAcentral lists this ribosomal RNA (508 nucleotides) under uncultured bacterium. RNAcentral describes it as "partial 16S ribosomal RNA". It matches the Rfam family "Bacterial small subunit ribosomal RNA", at positions 28 to 507 of the family's 1533-position model. The record is from RNAcentral.